RNAcentral lists this small nucleolar RNA (82 nucleotides) under Piliocolobus tephrosceles (Ugandan red Colobus). RNAcentral describes it as "Small nucleolar RNA SNORD115 (ENSPTEG00000038995.1)". It matches the Rfam family "Small nucleolar RNA SNORD115". Rfam says of the family: HBII-52 is a member of the C/D class of snoRNAs, which contain the C (UGAUGA) and D (CUGA) box motifs. Lineage: Eukaryota; Metazoa; Chordata; Mammalia; Primates; Cercopithecidae. The record is from Rfam by way of RNAcentral.
GGGUCGAUGAUGAGAACCUUAUAUUGUCCUGAAGAGAGGUGAUGACUUAAAAAUCAUGCUCAGCAGGAAUACGCUGAGGCCC